RNAcentral lists this ribosomal RNA (366 nucleotides) under uncultured eukaryote. Its description in RNAcentral is "partial 18S ribosomal RNA". It matches the Rfam family "Eukaryotic small subunit ribosomal RNA", at positions 592 to 976 of the family's 1831-position model. The record is from RNAcentral.
CAAUAGCGUAUAUUGACGUUGUUGCAGUUAAAAAGCUCGUAGUUGGAUUUCUGGAGGGAGCGUCGGCCCGUAUUUACGAGUGCGUGACGUCUCUGUCCAUCCUUGCGGGAAGGCACGGCAUUGAUUUGUUGUGUCGGAUCGCAUCAUUUACUGUGAAAAAAUUAGAGUGUUCAAAGCAGGCUUUCGCUUGAAUACAUUAGCAUGGAAUAAUAAGAUAGGACUUUGGUGCUAUUUUGUUGGUUGAGCCUAAAGUAAUGAUUAAUAGGGAUAGUUGGGGGCACCUGUAUUGCGUUGUCAGAGGUGAAAUUCUUGGAUUUGCGCAAGACAAACAGCUGCGAAAGCGUCUGCCAAGGAUGUUUUCAUUAA